Molecule: long non-coding RNA, 589 nt
Filed under: Homo sapiens (human)
Lineage: Eukaryota; Metazoa; Chordata; Mammalia; Primates; Hominidae
Description: non-protein coding lnc-ZNF813-1:1
Source: RNAcentral
UCAGAGACCAGUGCUGGCGGGUGCUCCAUAUGCUGAGCGCCGGUCCACUGGGCCCACUGUUCUUUCUCUAUACUUUGUCUCCGUCUCUUAUUUAUUUUCUCAGUCUCUCGUCCCACCUGACAAGAAACACCCACAGGUGUGGAGGGGCAGGCCACCCCUUCAUCACUGAUUGGCCGGGCGCAGUGGCUCACGCCUGUAAUCCCAUCACUUUGGAAGAUCGAGGAAGGCAGACCACCUGAAGUUGGGAGUUUGAGACCAGCCUGACCAACAUGAGACCCAUAAACACGGUUAUGAAACGAGGCUUGUUAGUGCUGUGCUUGCCAGCAGGGGCCACUGUUUUAUUCUGUACCUCCUGAUCCCCCCUCCACCCACACCGCCCUGGAGCAGCUCUGUGGAAAAAGUGGAAUCAGCUUAGAGGUUUUCGGGAGGAAGACACUGAAACGUAAACGUUAUAAGAAAGUGACGGUGCACAAACACACGUGCCUCAUCUCUGUGUCCCUCGGAGUAGACGGGGGGAAUGUGCGCAGAUGCGAAGUUCUUGCUGUCAUUUUCGUGAUGAAUAGUAAAAUAUAUAUUUUCUCAGAUCCAG